Molecule: ribosomal RNA, 253 nt
Filed under: uncultured bacterium
Lineage: Bacteria
Description: partial 16S ribosomal RNA
Rfam family: Bacterial small subunit ribosomal RNA
Source: RNAcentral
UACAGAGGGGGCAAGCGUUGUUCGGAAUUACUGGGCGUAGAGGGCGCGUAGGCGGCCUUCUAAGUCAGACGUGAAAUCCCUCGGCUCAACCAGGGAACUGCGUCUGAGACUGGAAGGCUUGAAUCCGGGAGAGGGAUGUGGAAUUCCAGGUGUAGCGGUGAAAUGCGUAGAUAUCUGGAGGAACACCGGUGGCGAAGGCGGCAUCCUGGACCGGUAUUGACGCUGAGGCGCGAAAGCCAGGGGAGCAAACGGG